Molecule: ribosomal RNA, 320 nt
Filed under: Foraminifera environmental sample
Lineage: Eukaryota; Foraminifera
Description: SSU rRNA
Rfam family: Eukaryotic small subunit ribosomal RNA
Source: RNAcentral
AAGGGCACCACAAGAACGCGUGGAGCAUGUGGCUUAAUUUGACCCAACGCGGGAAAUCUUACCGGGUCCGGACACACUGAGGAUUGACAGGCAAAAGGGACAAUUGCUUCGGCAAUUGUGCUGUAAAAUAUGCGAGUCCUUUCAUGAUUAUGUGAUAGGUGGUGCAUGGCCGUUCUUAGUUCGUGGAGUGAUCUGUCUGCUUAAUUGCGUUUCGCUACGAGUUAAAUACCAGCUUUCGCGCCUGCUGUUCGGUCGCCUCUGUGUGACUUUGAACGCAGCGCAUUGCAGGUUAAACACUCGGAAAGCAACGAACGUGACCG